Molecule: ribosomal RNA, 942 nt
Filed under: Lopharia cinerascens
Lineage: Eukaryota; Fungi; Basidiomycota; Agaricomycetes; Polyporales; Polyporaceae
Description: LSU rRNA
Rfam family: Eukaryotic large subunit ribosomal RNA
Source: RNAcentral
UAGCAUAUCAAUAAGCGGAGGAAAAGAAACUAACAAGGAUUCCCCUAGUAACUGCGAGUGAAGCGGGAAGAGCUCAAAUUUAAAAUCUGGCGGUCUUCGGCCGUCCGAGUUGUAGUCUGGAGAAGUGCUUUCCGCGCCGGACCGUGUACAAGUCUCUUGGAACAGAGCGUCGUAGAGGGUGAGAAUCCCGUCUUUGACACGGACUGCCGGUGCUUUGUGAUGCGCUCUCAAAGAGUCGAGUUGUUUGGGAAUGCAGCUCAAAAUGGGUGGUGAAUUCCAUCUAAAGCUAAAUAUUGGCGAGAGACCGAUAGCGAACAAGUACCGUGAGGGAAAGAUGAAAAGCACUUUGGAAAGAGAGUUAAACAGUACGUGAAAUUGCUGAAAGGGAAACGCUUGAAGUCAGUCGCGUCUGCCGGAACUCAGCCUUGCCUCGGCUUGGUGCAUUUUCCGGUAGACGGGCCAGCAUCGAUUUUGACCGUCGGAAAAGGGUGGGAGGAAUGUGGCACCUUCGGGUGUGUUAUAGCCUCUCGUCGCAUACGUCGGUUGGGAUCGAGGAUCGCAGCGCGCCUUUAUGGUCGGGGUUCGCCCACGUCCGCGCUUAGGAUGCUGGCGUAAUGGCUUUAAACGACCCGUCUUGAAACACGGACCAAGGAGUCUAACAUGCCCGCGAGUGUUUGGGUGGAAAACCCGAGCGCGUAAUGAAAGUGAAAGUUGAGACCUCUGUCGUGGAGGGCAUCGACGCCCGGCGCUGAAGUUUACCGAAGCUGCCGCGGUAGAGCGUGUAUGUUGGGACCCGAAAGAUGGUGAACUAUGCCUGAAUAGGGUGAAGCCAGAGGAAACUCUGGUGGAGGCUCGUAGCGAUUCUGACGUGCAAAUCGAUCGUCAAAUUUGGGUAUAGGGGCGAAAGACUAAUCUAACCAUCUAGUAGCUGGUUCCUGCCGA